RNAcentral lists this ribosomal RNA (468 nucleotides) under uncultured bacterium. Its description in RNAcentral is "partial 16S ribosomal RNA". It matches the Rfam family "Bacterial small subunit ribosomal RNA", at positions 28 to 507 of the family's 1533-position model. The record is from RNAcentral.
GACGAACGCUGGCGGCGUGCUUAACACAUGCAAGUCGAACGGAAAGGCCCUGCUUUUGUGGGGUGCUCGAGUGGCGAACGGGUGAGUAACACGUGAGUAACCUGCCCUUGACUUUGGGAUAACUUCAGGAAACUGGGGCUAAUACCGGAUAGGAGCUCCCGCUGCAUGGUGGGGGUUGGAAAGUUUCGGCGGUUGGGGAUGGACUCGCGGCUUAUCAGCUUGUUGGUGGGGUAGCGGCUUACCAAGGCUUUGACGGGUAGCCGGCCUGAGAGGGUGGACGGCCACAUUGGGACUGAGAGACGGCCCAGACUCCUACGGUAGGCAGCAGUGGGGAAUAUUGCACAAUGGGCGGAAGCCUGAUGCAGCAACGCCGCGUGCGGGAUGACGGCCUUCGGGUUGUAAACCGCUUUCGCCUGUGACGAAGCGUGAGUGACGGUAAUGGGUAAAGAAGCACCGGCUAACUACGUG